CUGAAUGGAGGACCGAACCGACUUACGUUGAAAAGUGAGCGGAUGAACUGAGGGUAGCGGAGAAAUUCCAAUCGAACUUGGAGAUAGCUGGUUCUCUCCGAAAUAGCUUUAGGGCUAGCCUCAAGUGAUGAUUAUUGGAGGUAGAGCACUGUUUGGACGAGGGGCCCCUCUCGGGUUACCGAAUUCAGACAAACUCCGAAUGCCAAUUAAUUUAACUUGGGAGUCAGAACAUGGGUGAUAAGGUCCGUGUUCGAAAGGGAAACAGCCCAGACCACCAGCUAAGGUCCCAAAAUAUAUGUUAAGUGGAAAAGGAUGUGGCGUUGCCCAGACAACUAGGAUGUUGGCUUAGAAGCAGCCAUCAUUUAAAGAGUGCGUAAUAGCUCACUAGUCGAGUGACACUGCGCCGAAAAUGUACCGGGGCUAAACAUAUUACCGAAGCUGUGGAUUGUCCUUUGGACAAUGGUAGGAGAGCGUUCUAAGGGCGUCGAAGCAUGAUCGCAAGGACAUGUGGAGCGCUUAGAAGUGAGAAUGCCGGUGUGAGUAGCGAAAGACGGGUGAGAAUCCCGUCCACCGAUUGACUAAGGUUUCCAGAGGAAGGCUCGUCCGCUCUGGGUUAGUCGGGUCCUAAGCUGAGGCCGACAGGCGUAGGCGAUGGAUAACAGGUUGAUAUUCCUGUACCACCUAGUAUCG
This 690-nucleotide ribosomal RNA is filed under the name Staphylococcus epidermidis. RNAcentral describes it as "bacterial LSU rRNA". It matches the Rfam family "Bacterial large subunit ribosomal RNA", at positions 762 to 1456 of the family's 2925-position model. Lineage: Bacteria; Bacillati; Bacillota; Bacilli; Caryophanales; Staphylococcaceae. The record is from RNAcentral.